UAUCUACGCCGUAAACGAUGGUUACUAGCUGUUUGGAAUUUAUUCUGAGUGGCUAAGCGAAAGUGAUAAGUAACCCGCCUGGGGAGUACGUUCGCAAGAAUGAAACUCAAAGGAAUUGACGGGGGCCCGCACAAGCGGUGGAGCAUGUGGUUUAAUUCGAUGAUACGCGAGGAACCUUACCAGGGCUUAAAUGUAGUAUGACAGGUUUAGAGAUAGACUUUUCUUCGGACAUAUUACAAGGUGCUGCAUGGUUGUCGUCAGCUCGUGCCGUGAGGUGUCAGGUUAAGUCCUAUAACGAGCGCAACCCCUGUGGUUAGUUGCCAGCGAGUCAUGUCGGGAACUCUAGCCAGACUGCCGGUGCAAACCGUGAGGAAGGUGGGGAUGACGUCAAAUCAUCACGGCCCUUACGUCCUGGGCCACACACGUGCUACAAUGGUAGGUACAGAGAGCAGCCACUACGCGAGUAGGAGCGAAUCUAUAAAACCUAUCUCAGUUUGGAUCGGAGU
This 506-nucleotide ribosomal RNA is filed under the name uncultured bacterium. Its description in RNAcentral is "bacterial SSU rRNA". It matches the Rfam family "Bacterial small subunit ribosomal RNA", at positions 792 to 1304 of the family's 1533-position model. The record is from RNAcentral.